GAGGAAUAUUGGUCAAUGGGCGAGAGCCUGAACCAGCCAAGUCGCGUGAAGGAAGAAGGAUCUAUGGUUCGUAAACUUCUUUUGCAGGGGAAUAAAGUGCAGGACGUGUCCUGUUUUGUAUGUACCCUGAGAAUAAGGAUCGGCUAACUCCGUGCCAGCAGCCGCGGUAAUACGGAGGAUCCGAGCGUUAUCGGGAUUUAUUGGGUUUAAAGGGUGCGUAGGUGGUUUGAUAAGUCAGCGGUGAAAGUUUGCAGCUUAACUGUAAAAAUGCCGUUGAAACUGUCGGACUUGAGUGUAAAUGAGGUAGGCGGAAUGCGUGGUGUAGCGGUGAAAUGCAUAGAUAUCACGCAGAACUCCGACUGCGAAGGCAGCUUACUAAGCUACAACUGACACUGAAGCACGAAAGCGUGGGGAUCAAACA
This 421-nucleotide ribosomal RNA is filed under the name uncultured bacterium. RNAcentral's name for it is "bacterial SSU rRNA". It matches the Rfam family "Bacterial small subunit ribosomal RNA", at positions 356 to 774 of the family's 1533-position model. The record is from RNAcentral.